GACGAACGCUGGCGGCGUGCCUAAUACAUGCAAGUAGAACGCUGAAGGAGGAGCUUGCUUCUCUGGAUGAGUUGCGAACGGGUGAGUAACGCGUAGGUAACCUGCCUGGUAGCGGGGGAUAACUAUUGGAAACGAUAGCUAAUACCGCAUAAUAGUAGAUGUUGCAUGACAUUUGCUUAAAAGGUGCAAUUGCAUCACUACCAGAUGGACCUGCGUUGUAUUAGCUAGUUGGUGGGGUAACGGCUCACCAAGGCGACGAUACAUAGCCGACCUGAGAGGGUGAUCGGCCACACUGGGACUGAGACACGGCCCAGACUCCUACGGGAGGCAGCAGUAGGGAAUCUUCGGCAAUGGACGGAAGUCUGACCGAGCAACGCCGCGUGAGUAAAGAAGGUUUUCGGAUCGUAAAGCUCUGUUGUAAGAGAAGAACGAGUGUGAGAGUGGAAAGUUCACACUGUGACGGUAUCUUACCAGAAAGGGACGGCUAACUACGUGCCAGCAGCCGCGGUAAUACGUAGGUCCCGAGCGUUGUCCGGAUUUAUUGGGCGUAAAGCGAGCGCAGGCGGUUAGAUAAGUCUGAAGUUAAAGGCUGUGGCUUAACCAUAGUACGCUUUGGAAACUGUUUAACUUGAGUGCAAGAGGGGAGAGUGGAAUUCCAUGUGUAGCGGUGAAAUGCGUAGAUAUAUGGAGGAACACCGGUGGCGAAAGCGGCUCUCUGGCUUGUAACUGACGCUGAGGCUCGAAAGCGUGGGGAGCAAACAGG
Molecule: ribosomal RNA, 763 nt
Filed under: uncultured Streptococcus sp.
Lineage: Bacteria; Bacillati; Bacillota; Bacilli; Lactobacillales; Streptococcaceae
Description: bacterial SSU rRNA
Rfam family: Bacterial small subunit ribosomal RNA
Source: RNAcentral